RNAcentral lists this ribosomal RNA (425 nucleotides) under uncultured bacterium. RNAcentral describes it as "partial 16S ribosomal RNA". It matches the Rfam family "Bacterial small subunit ribosomal RNA", at positions 354 to 796 of the family's 1533-position model. The record is from RNAcentral.
GUGGGGAAUCUUGCACAAUGGGCGAAAGCCUGAUGCAGCCAUGCCGCGUGAAUGAUGAAGGCCUUAGGGUUGUAAAAUUCUUUCGUCAGGGAUGAUAAUGACCGUACCUGAAGAAGAAGCCCCGGCUAACUUCGUGCCAGCAGCCGCGGUAAUACGAAGGGGGCUAGCGUUGCUCGGAAUUACUGGGCGUAAAGGGCGCGUAGGCGGAAAGCUUAGUCAGAGGUGAAAGCCCAGGGCUCAACCUUGGAAUUGCCUUUGAUACUGGCUGUCUUGAGUUUGGGAGAGGUGAGUGGAACUCCGAGUGUAGAGGUGAAAUUCGUAGAUAUUCGGAAGAACACCAGUGGCGAAGGCGACUCACUGGCCCAAUACUGACGCUGAGGCGCGAAAGCGUGGGGAGCAAACAGGAUUAGAUACCCCAGUAGUCC